RNAcentral lists this long non-coding RNA (2295 nucleotides) under Gadus morhua (Atlantic cod). RNAcentral's name for it is "lncRNA (ENSGMOG00000025052.1)". The record is from RNAcentral. Lineage: Eukaryota; Metazoa; Chordata; Actinopteri; Gadiformes; Gadidae.
CAUUCAUUUGAAAUAUUCCUUUUUGACAUUUACUCACAUGUCUAUCCUAACUCAGCACAGAAUCAUUUGACACACAGAAACCAAAAGCUAUUGGUUCCACUGAGCUGUCACUCAAAAGCAGCCCGCCCAGUUGACUCCAGGGGGCUGCGUUGAGGACCUAUUUGAGGCCAGCCUGAUUCACACUGGUCUCAGUGGCAGCCCCUCUCCUCAGCUUCUCCUACAGACCAGAUGCUUCUACUCACUAGGGCUGCCUGGAGCUCACUGUGUUUAGCGGUGGUUGCCAUGGCAGCAGAGCUGACUCAGGACCAGGUGUCGUGGACCAGGAGAGAAGGGGAAGCCGUCUCCUUCAGGUGUACAGACACUGACCAGUGUACUGGUUCCUAUAUCUUCUGGUACCAGAAGAAAGAGAGCGAAACAUUCACCCUGAUUCUUGACAUUGGCAAGAGUAAUGGUGCGCUUGAUAAAAGUUACAACCAUCCUCAGAAGGAUGAUUUCUCAUCAGUCCUCAAAGAGAACAGCUGGGAGUUGUCACUUCAGCUGGUGAAAGCGUCCCAUUCCGCCACCUACUACUGUUCCUGUUGGACUAGUGGUGUCACACAGUGAGACGUUCUCCUUCCUGCCCGUACAAAAACUCUGGUGAUCACAAGACGCAUCAGAAGAUGUCUCAUUGGCUGUUCAAUCUACAGCCAUGCGCUAAUUUAAACUGGAUAUGACCAGUAAGAUGUGGAUCAAUCCCUGUUAUGUUACACAUUAAGGCACGUGUUGAGACUUUACCCUAUGCUGGUGUGUAUAGUGUCUAUGAUGUCGGGGGUACGAGUCCUCGCCGUGCCAUGUUGAGAAGGCCAGCAGCAGAAGGAAGAAUCCCUGUACUCCCAUACUGUCUGUAGUAUAGGCUUCAUUCCAAGCCUUGAUCUCUCCUUGCUACUGUGCUGAGUUAAUAUCAUCACUGAACUGGUUGCUGGUUUGGGGGAGGUGGAUCAAACUACAAAGUAACAGACAGACAUCUGGAGGCCCUAAUGGAAGUGGACGACUUUAGGCUCAAACCUCAAGAAACAACAAUCUAGUAAAAUACUGAACUCUGUGGUAAUAAAGCUCUCUCUGGAAGAUUUUACAUUUUCAUUCUUCAUGAGAGGGAACGAGUCUUCAGUUGUUAUUAAAGCCUACGAUGAAGAGAGAAGAAGACCUUGGAGUCAUUUCUGCUGAACACAAACAGUGACAUCUACUCUCCUGAUUUACUCUGCUGGCAUUUACAAAGCCCUCCUCUCAGGAUAAGAACAUUCAUCCCACGCCUCCCUUGUAGUGGUGCUGAUCAUCUGUAGGUGAUCGAUGUGAUCAACAAGUUAUUGAUCAGCGUUGACGGCAUCUCAGGCGGUGAGCAGAGGUUUAUGAUACAGGAUAUUUCACUGUGGAUAUCCCAACUUUUGGUCGUGGCACCACCCUGGUUGUUACAGGUAAGAUCACUGCUUCAUGGUUUCUAUGACUUUGUGUUUCAUUUUAUGUUGGGGAGAAUAUGAGUGUAUUAAUGUUUCCAGUUUUUUGGUUGUUUUUUGACCUCUUUGAGUUGUGCUGGAGAAGUCAGUGUUGUCUGAAGAUUCAUGUUCUGUCUGUACAGCUUAAAAUAUCACUAAUGCUAUUAAUAAACUAUGCAUCAGUAUAAUAUUAUUAUGAAUUAUCAUUAUGGGGACAAAAAUCAGCACAUGACAAUUUUCAAACCAAUAUUAAAAUUUUAAUAUUAUGCUAAUAAAAGCCAACAUUGACGUCAACAGUUUGCCAAUAUAAAUUAAAGCCUCCUUUUAAGUAGGAUCUGUUUCUAUUCUAUUCUAUUAUGUACAUUUGUAAUCUUCAAAACAAUUAUUAUUUCACAAAGUAGAAAUAAUAAUGUAAAAAUAUUAAUGAUAUUGUAUCUAUAUAAUGUUUAUUAUGGAAAAUGCUCAUGGUAUGUAUAUUGGGCUUGAUACAUAAAUCAGAUAUAUUAUAUGUAUAACAUAGUUUUAUAUGUAAAUAUUUAUUAUUCAAUUUUUUUUAGAUCGCUAAUGUAGUUUCUUUGACUACUUAAAAUGAUUUUAAUUACCAUGUUUAAAAUCGUAGUAAUAUUAAUUAUAGUAAUUAUGAAAAUAAAAUCAUAUUGCAAUUACAAAAUAUAAUAAUUUUACAAAAAUUUUGAAGUGAUUGCCUCCCUUCAUAUUGUUUUCAGAGUUAUUUAAUUCUUAAUAUAUGUUGUAAUAUGUAAUAUAAUAUUUCUGCUAAUAUAUCGACAGUUUUGACACCAUGUGACUUGUGUUCUGUCUCUCGAUU